AUGAUUGACGCUGAGGCACGUUAGCUUGGGGAGCGAACAGGAUUAGAUACCCUGGUAGUCCAUCGCUGUAAACUAUGAUCACUGGUUGUUGGCAAUAUACCGUCAGCGACUGAGCGAAAGCAUUAAGUGAUCCACCUGGGGAGUACGUCGGCAACGAUGAAACUCAAAGGAAUUGACGGGGGCCCGCACAAGCGGAGGAACAUGUGGUUUAAUUCGAUGAUAUGCGAGGAACCUUACCUGGGCUUAAAUGUAGAGUGCAUAGAGUGGAAACAUUCUUUUCCUUCGGGACUCUUUACAAGGUGCUGCAUGGUUGUCGUCAGCUCGUGCCGUGAGGUGUCGGGUUAAGUCCCAUAACGAGCGCAACCCUUGUCGUUAGUUGCUAGCAGGUCAAGCUGAGGACUCUAACGAGACUGCCGGUGUAAACCGAGAGGAAGGUGGGGAUGACGUCAAAUCAGCACGGCCCUUAUGUCCAGGGCUACACACGUGUUACAAUGGCCAGUACAAGGAGCAGCCACCUGGCAACAGGGCGCUAAUCUCAAAAGCUGGUCACAGUUCGGAUCGGAGUCUGCAACUCGACUUCGUGAAGGUGGAUUCGCUAGUAAUCGCGCAUCAGCCACGGCGCGGUGAUACGUUCCCGGGCCUUGUACACACCGCCCGUCAAGCCAUGGUAGCUGGGGGUACCUGAAGUCCGUAACC
RNAcentral lists this ribosomal RNA (696 nucleotides) under uncultured organism. RNAcentral's name for it is "bacterial SSU rRNA". It matches the Rfam family "Bacterial small subunit ribosomal RNA", at positions 736 to 1435 of the family's 1533-position model. The record is from RNAcentral.